Molecule: ribosomal RNA, 179 nt
Filed under: Lumbricus festivus
Lineage: Eukaryota; Metazoa; Annelida; Clitellata; Crassiclitellata; Lumbricidae
Description: partial 12S ribosomal RNA
Source: RNAcentral
AAACUUAAAGAUUUUGGCGGUGUCUUAUCAGCCCAGGGGAACCUGUCUCAUAACUCGAUAACCCACGACAUCCUCACCCUUCCUAGACCUAACAGCUUGUGUACUGCCGUCGUAAGCACACCUCUAAAAGUUAAUAAGUGUGCAGCAAUGAUUAACUCAUAUACGUCAGGUCAAAGUGC